This 1252-nucleotide ribosomal RNA is filed under the name Streptomyces albidoflavus. Its description in RNAcentral is "bacterial SSU rRNA". It matches the Rfam family "Bacterial small subunit ribosomal RNA", at positions 129 to 1388 of the family's 1533-position model. The record is from RNAcentral. Lineage: Bacteria; Bacillati; Actinomycetota; Actinomycetes; Kitasatosporales; Streptomycetaceae.
CCCUGCACUCUGGGACAAGCCCUGGAAACGGGGUCUAAUACCGGAUAUGACCGUCUGCCGCAUGGUGGAUGGUGUAAAGCUCCGGCGGUGCAGGAUGAGCCCGCGGCCUAUCAGCUUGUUGGUGAGGUAGUGGCUCACCAAGGCGACGACGGGUAGCCGGCCUGAGAGGGCGACCGGCCACACUGGGACUGAGACACGGCCCAGACUCCUACGGGAGGCAGCAGUGGGGAAUAUUGCACAAUGGGCGAAAGCCUGAUGCAGCGACGCCGCGUGAGGGAUGACGGCCUUCGGGUUGUAAACCUCUUUCAGCAGGGAAGAAGCGAAAGUGACGGUACCUGCAGAAGAAGCGCCGGCUAACUACGUGCCAGCAGCCGCGGUAAUACGUAGGGCGCAAGCGUUGUCCGGAAUUAUUGGGCGUAAAGAGCUCGUAGGCGGCUUGUCACGUCGGUUGUGAAAGCCCGGGGCUUAACCCCGGGUCUGCAGUCGAUACGGGCAGGCUAGAGUUCGGUAGGGGAGAUCGGAAUUCCUGGUGUAGCGGUGAAAUGCGCAGAUAUCAGGAGGAACACCGGUGGCGAAGGCGGAUCUCUGGGCCGAUACUGACGCUGAGGAGCGAAAGCGUGGGGAGCGAACAGGAUUAGAUACCCUGGUAGUCCACGCCGUAAACGGUGGGCACUAGGUGUGGGCAACAUUCCACGUUGUCCGUGCCGCAGCUAACGCAUUAAGUGCCCCGCCUGGGGAGUACGGCCGCAAGGCUAAAACUCAAAGGAAUUGACGGGGGCCCGCACAAGCGGCGGAGCAUGUGGCUUAAUUCGACGCAACGCGAAGAACCUUACCAAGGCUUGACAUACACCGGAAACGUCUGGAGACAGGCGCCCCCUUGUGGUCGGUGUACAGGUGGUGCAUGCCUGUCGUCAGCUCGUGUCGUGAGAUGUUGGGUUAAGUCCCGCAACGAGCGCAACCCUUGUCCCGUGUUGCCAGCAGGCCCUUGUGGUGCUGGGGACUCACGGGAGACCGCCGGGGUCAACUCGGAGGAAGGUGGGGACGACGUCAAGUCAUCAUGCCCCUUAUGUCUUGGGCUGCACACGUGCUACAAUGGCCGGUACAAUGAGCUGCGAUACCGUGAGGUGGAGCGAAUCUCAAAAAGCCGGUCUCAGUUCGGAUUGGGGUCUGCAACUCGACCCCAUGAAGUCGGAGUCGCUAGUAAUCGCAGAUCAGCAUUGCUGCGGUGAAUACGUUCCCGGGCCUUGUACAC